RNAcentral lists this ribosomal RNA (97 nucleotides) under Callithrix jacchus (white-tufted-ear marmoset). The record is from RNAcentral. Lineage: Eukaryota; Metazoa; Chordata; Mammalia; Primates; Cebidae.
AUCUAUGGCCAUACCACCCUGAAGGCACCUGAUCUCCUCUGAUCUCAGAAGCUAAGCAGGGUUGGGCCUGGUUAGUACUUGGAUGGUGCUGUAGGCU